AAGAAAAAGAAGUUAAAUCAGUCAAUGAAAGACUGGCUGAGGCAAAAACAUCCCAUGAAAAUGAGAUCCAAAAGAUGAGAUCUGCUUUAGUAAAGAAGGAAGAAGAACUGAAAUCAGUCAAUG
Xiphophorus couchianus (Monterrey platyfish) is the source of this 123-nucleotide long non-coding RNA. RefSeq lists it as uncharacterized. The record is from RefSeq and is a predicted model, not a curated record. The transcript is spliced from 3 exons. Lineage: Eukaryota; Metazoa; Chordata; Actinopteri; Cyprinodontiformes; Poeciliidae.